CGGGGCGUGGCCCAGUGGCAGGGCGCCUGGUUUGGGACCAGGAGGUCGGCAGUUCGAAUCUGCCCGCCCCGACCA
This 75-nucleotide transfer RNA is filed under the name SAR202 cluster bacterium Io17-Chloro-G4. Its description in RNAcentral is "tRNA-Pro". It matches the Rfam family "tRNA". Rfam says of the family: Transfer RNA (tRNA) molecules are approximately 80 nucleotides in length. RNAcentral also lists the same sequence under 1 other name. Lineage: Bacteria; Bacillati; Chloroflexota; Dehalococcoidia. The record is from RNAcentral.